UACGUAGGGUGCAAGCGUUGUCCGGAAUCAUUGGGCGUAAAGAGCGUGUAGGCGGCUCGAUAAGUCUGCUGUGAAAGUCCAGGGCUCAACCCUGGAAGGCCGGUGGAAACUGCCGGGCUAGAGUCCGGAAGAGGCGAGUGGAAUUCCCGGUGUAGCGGUGAAAUGCGCAGAUAUCGGGAGGAACACCAAUGGCGAAGGCAGCUCGCUGGGACGGUACUGACGCUGAGACGCGAAAGCGUGGGGAGCAAGCAGG
This 253-nucleotide ribosomal RNA is filed under the name uncultured bacterium. Its description in RNAcentral is "partial 16S ribosomal RNA". It matches the Rfam family "Bacterial small subunit ribosomal RNA", at positions 524 to 776 of the family's 1533-position model. The record is from RNAcentral.